Molecule: ribosomal RNA, 342 nt
Filed under: Goniada maculata
Lineage: Eukaryota; Metazoa; Annelida; Polychaeta; Phyllodocida; Goniadidae
Description: partial 16S ribosomal RNA
Rfam family: Bacterial large subunit ribosomal RNA
Source: RNAcentral
GCAUAAUAAUUUGCCUCUUAAUUAGAGGCUAGUAUGAAUGGACUUAUGAAAAUAUAUCUGUCUCUUUUAUAUUUAUAAAAAUUGAUCUACAGGUGAAAAAUCCUGUAUAUUUUUAAAGGACAAAAAGACCCUAUUGAGCUUUAUUUUUAUAAAAAUAAUUAUGAAUAAAUCACUUAAUAUUACUUUAAUAAAUUCUGUUGGGGCGACACAGGAACAUCUUUAACUUCCUUUAUUCAAAAGACACACAAAUCUAAUCAUAGAUCCUUAAUAAAGAUCAAAGAAAAAAGCUACCAUAGGGAUAACAGGCUAAUCAUUUCAGAGAGUCCAAAUUGACGAAAUGGG